RNAcentral lists this ribosomal RNA (305 nucleotides) under uncultured bacterium. Its description in RNAcentral is "bacterial SSU rRNA". It matches the Rfam family "Bacterial small subunit ribosomal RNA", at positions 337 to 659 of the family's 1533-position model. The record is from RNAcentral.
UCCUACGGGGGGCAGCAGUAGGGAAUCUUCCACAAUGGGGGAAACCCUGAUGCAGCGACGCCGCGUGAGUGAAGAAGUAUUUCGGUAUGUAAAGCUCUAUCAGCAGGAACGAGACAAGACGGUACCUGACUAAGAAGCCCCGGCUAACUACGUGCCAGCAGCCGCGGUAAUACGUAGGGGGCAAGCGUUAUCCGGAUUACUGGGUGUAAAGGGAGCGUAGACGGCAUAGCAAGUCUGAAGUGAAAGCCCGUGGCUCAACCGCGGAACUGCUUUGGAAACUGUUAAGCUGGAGUACUGGAGAGGCA